GCAGAGAUGGGUUGCUGGUCCUGACGUUUCUCACGAUGAAAAUUAAAAGAAACCAAUUUGCAAAUUCAUUCAACUCAGACUUGGAAGUGCCUGUACAUUGCCGAAAUGGCGUGCCUCGUGUGUCUUGCUGCCUGUUCUUAGGCGUACGUCUCAUCCCAUGCAACAGCAAAAAGUAUAACAAACACUUCUUUAACACUGUUGGUUACCUUGUUGCAGCCAAAUGGUGAAAGGUGUGACAAAGACAGAUUGAACCGUUGUAUGCAGCAUGAGGUUGCAGUGUGAUCCAGAAGUAGCCGUGUUGGACCUGAAAUUGCUGUGCUGUUGUACCGGAGCUGUUCCAUCUGGGUUCCUGACUUGAAAAUUUUUGUGUUGUUUGCCUGCCAGUAUUUUGUAUUGUGAUUUCAGAUAGUUUGAUCUGUCGUCUUUUGAGUUUUCAUUCAAUCAUGCAGUAUACGACUGAGGCAACCUGAUCAAUGUCAGGUUUGACACAGUCGAGAACUGCUAGAUCAAACAAGCUUUCUGCGCCAAACAAAUAAUAAUUUGCAUAUAACUUGCACCAUGUUAUUAUCGCGGUAGAGAAAGCGACAGGCCCCCCCCCCCUGGGGGCCACAGGAAAA
Molecule: long non-coding RNA, 617 nt
Filed under: Daphnia pulicaria
Lineage: Eukaryota; Metazoa; Arthropoda; Branchiopoda; Diplostraca; Daphniidae
Description: uncharacterized LOC124327359, transcript variant X1
Source: RNAcentral